This 492-nucleotide ribosomal RNA is filed under the name uncultured bacterium. RNAcentral describes it as "partial 16S ribosomal RNA". It matches the Rfam family "Bacterial small subunit ribosomal RNA", at positions 29 to 507 of the family's 1533-position model. The record is from RNAcentral.
AGUGAACGCUGGCGGUAGGCCUAACACAUGCAAGUCGAACGGCAGCACAGUAAGAGCUUGCUCUUACGGGUGGCGAGUGGCGGACGGGUGAGGAAUACAUCGGAAUCUACUUUUUCGUGGGGGAUAACGUAGGGAAACUUACGCUAAUACCGCAUACGACCUACGGGUGAAAGCAGGGGAUCUUCGGACCUUGCGCGAUUGAAUGAGCCGAUGUCGGAUUAGCUAGUUGGCGGGGUAAAGGCCCACCAAGGCGACGAUCCGUAGCUGGUCUGAGAGGAUGAUCACCCACACUGGAACUGAGACACGGUCCAUACUCCUACGGGAGGCAGCAGUGGGGAAUAUUGGACAAUGGGCGCAAGCCUGAUCCAGCCAUACCGCGUGGGUGAAGAAGGCCUUCGGGUUGUAAAGCCCUUUUGUUGGGAAAGAAAAGCAGCAGGUUAAUACCCCGCGGUUCUGACGGUACCCAAAGAAUAAGCACCGGCUAACUUCGUG